This 497-nucleotide ribosomal RNA is filed under the name uncultured bacterium. RNAcentral describes it as "partial 16S ribosomal RNA". It matches the Rfam family "Bacterial small subunit ribosomal RNA", at positions 28 to 507 of the family's 1533-position model. The record is from RNAcentral.
GACGAACGCUGGCGGCGUGCCUAAUACAUGCAAGUAGAACGCUGAAGCGAGGAGCUUGCUCUUCUUGGAUGAGUUGCGAACGGGUGAGUAACGCGUAGGUAACCUGCCUUGUAGCGGGGGAUAACUAUUGGAAACGAUAGCUAAUACCGCAUAACAAUGGAUGACCCAUGUCAUUUAUUUGAAAGGGGCAAAUGCUCCACUACAAGAUGGACCUGCGUUGUAUUAGCUAGUAGGUGAGGUAACGGCUCACCUAGGCGACGAUACAUAACCGACCUGAGAGGGUGGUCGGCCACACUGGGACUGAGACACGGCCCAGACUCCUACGGGAGGCAGCAGUAAGGGAUCUUCGGCAAUGGGGGCAACCCUGACCGGGCAACGCCGCGUGAGUGAAGAAGGUUUUCGGAUCGUAAAGCUCUGUUGUAAGUCAAGAACGAGUGUGAGAGUGGAAAGUUCACACUGUGACGGUAGCUUACCAGAAAGGGACGGCUAACUACGUG